GAGAAGUGAUGCAUUUCGAAAGUGAUGCAGUGCAGCGUUACAAGGGCUGAGAUUUUGGUUGGAUCUUUUGCGGGCAUGUGUCUGCGGAUGCUGCUUCCCAGUUCUGUCCCCAUUUUUUGUGUGCGAGCUGAUGCUGCCGGUGAAUUUAUUAGGAACAACAAAACUGGCGGUCCAUCAAAUUUUUGGAUGUGAUUACCUUGUAAGAGAAAUUUUUGUCGAGGACUGAACUUCAUGCAGAUCGGCUGCUGGCGGAAGUACUGAUAGCUGCUUUUGCUGACAGUGCACCUUUUUGUACUUGUAGGAUAAGGCCGCUCCACGCACUGGUUGAAAUUGUGGAUGAUCAACAUCUGUUGUACUUGUAAACCCAUAAAUGUCAAAAUCUAUUGUAUGGUUAACUUGUAUAUAAAGUUCGCAUCACGGCUGUACAGUUGACAUAUCUGUUAGUGCAGGCAUAGCAGGAAGCCCA
Long non-coding RNA from Eucalyptus grandis, 466 nucleotides. RefSeq lists it as uncharacterized. The record is from RefSeq and is a predicted model, not a curated record. The transcript is spliced from 2 exons. Lineage: Eukaryota; Viridiplantae; Streptophyta; Magnoliopsida; Myrtales; Myrtaceae.